UACGUAGGGUGCAAGCGUUGUCCGGAAUUAUUGGGCGUAAAGAGCUCGUAGGCGGUCUGUCGCGUCUGCUGUGAAAACUCAGGGCUUAACCCUGAGCUUGCAGUGGGUACGGGCAGACUAGAGUGCGGUAGGGGAGACUGGAAUUCCUGGUGUAGCGGUGAAAUGCGCAGAUAUCAGGAGGAACACCAGUGGCGAAGGCGGUGCUCUGGGCCGGUACUGACGCUGAGGAGCGAAAGCGUGGGUAGCAAACAGG
This 253-nucleotide ribosomal RNA is filed under the name uncultured bacterium. Its description in RNAcentral is "partial 16S ribosomal RNA". It matches the Rfam family "Bacterial small subunit ribosomal RNA", at positions 524 to 776 of the family's 1533-position model. The record is from RNAcentral.